UUAAGUCGACCGCCUGGGGAGUACGGCCGCAAGGUUAAAACUCAAAUGAAUUGACGGGGGCCCGCACAAGCGGUGGAGCAUGUGGUUUAAUUCGAUGCAACGCGAAGAACCUUACCUACUCUUGACAUCCACGGAAUUCGGCAGAGAUGCCUUAGUGCCUUCGGGAACCGUGAGACAGGUGCUGCAUGGCUGUCGUCAGCUCGUGUUGUGAAAUGUUGGGUUAAGUCCCGCAACGAGCGCAACCCUUAUCCUUUGUUGCCAGCGAUUCGGUCGGGAACUCAAAGGAGACUGCCGGUGAUAAACCGGAGGAAGGUGGGGAUGACGUCAAGUCAUCAUGGCCCUUACGAGUAGGGCUACACACGUGCUACAAUGGCGCAUACAAAGAGAAGCGACCUCGCGAGAGCAAGCGGACCUCACAAAGUGCGUCGUAGUCCGUCUGCAACUCGACUCCGUGAAGUCGGAAUCGCUAGUAAUCGUGGAUCAGAAUGCCACGGUGAAUACGUUCCCGGGCCUUGUACACACCGCCCGUCACACCAUGGGAGUGGGUUGCAAAAGAAGUAGGUAGCUUAACCUUCGGGAGGGCGCUUACCACUUUGUGAUUCAUGACUGGGGGAAGUCGAAGCAAGGAAGAAAG
This 634-nucleotide ribosomal RNA is filed under the name Pantoea sp. RNAcentral's name for it is "bacterial SSU rRNA". It matches the Rfam family "Bacterial small subunit ribosomal RNA", at positions 860 to 1503 of the family's 1533-position model. Lineage: Bacteria; Pseudomonadati; Pseudomonadota; Gammaproteobacteria; Enterobacterales; Erwiniaceae. The record is from RNAcentral.